RNAcentral lists this long non-coding RNA (248 nucleotides) under Lathyrus oleraceus (garden pea). RNAcentral's name for it is "Pisum sativum (pea) long non-coding RNA (PSAT_LNC017219)". Lineage: Eukaryota; Viridiplantae; Streptophyta; Magnoliopsida; Fabales; Fabaceae. The record is from RNAcentral.
UUAAAACCUUUUUUCACAAACAUUAGCCAUAGGUUUGAGUUAUCAUAGUCGUUGAUGUAAACCUCACCUCAUCCUUAGUGAUUAGACUAUAAGUCUUCCAUACUUAUUAUAGGGUGGAUCCUUCACUAGUAUGUUGAAGCUCUCCUCACAUGGUGGAUUGUUGGUUUAGGUUGAGUUUUCUCCCUUUGAUAACAAUAAACCUUAAGGUUUUUUGACAAAUCAAUUCACCAAUAUCUUUUGAGAUUUUU